GGAACACUUCAGGUGUCCCAUGGUCUAGUGUGAGCGGAACACCUCAGGGUCCUAUGAUCUCACAAGUCCAGGCUGCAAUAGCUCUGUCAGGUCAUACUCUGAGCAGCAUGAUCCCCAUAUGAGCCCAGCUUUCUCUGACUCCAGCUUUGGGCUCGUCCCUUUGUAUAAGAGGUACCAGUGGGAGCCACUGUGGGAGAGGGACUGCCUGACUGUAGAGUCUUUCCGGUUGAGUUUGGAAUGGACCAUUGCUAGCUACAAACAAGGGGAAGAAAGCCCAGGGAAGUGGGCGACGGCCAUAUGGAGAGGGGCCAGCUGUCCCCCUGAGAGAGCGAGCACUGGGAACAGAGCUGGCAGAGAAGCUCAGGUAUCUUGGUUGGUGUCCCUGAGGCUUAGACAAGGGUUGCCCCACCAUAGAGUGAUCCCUGGUCUGCUUCCUGCUUCAGAGGUCUAAGUCCAAGACCUCUGUGGGCCCAGGGAAC
RNAcentral lists this long non-coding RNA (479 nucleotides) under Rattus norvegicus (Norway rat). RNAcentral describes it as "long non-coding RNA NONRATT024022". Lineage: Eukaryota; Metazoa; Chordata; Mammalia; Rodentia; Muridae. The record is from RNAcentral.